UGGGGUAACCCGCAAGGGAGCCAGCCGCCGAAGGUGGGGUAGAUGAUUGGGGUGAAGUCGUAACAAGGUAGCCGUAUCGGAAGGUGCGGCUGGAUCACCUCCUUUCUAUGGAGA
Molecule: ribosomal RNA, 114 nt
Filed under: Paenibacillus agri
Lineage: Bacteria; Bacillati; Bacillota; Bacilli; Caryophanales; Paenibacillaceae
Description: Paenibacillus sp. JW14 partial 16S ribosomal RNA
Rfam family: Bacterial small subunit ribosomal RNA
Source: RNAcentral